Molecule: unclassified non-coding RNA, 90 nt
Filed under: Pseudomonas sp. B10
Lineage: Bacteria; Pseudomonadati; Pseudomonadota; Gammaproteobacteria; Pseudomonadales; Pseudomonadaceae
Source: RNAcentral
UGUGGGAGCUGGCUUGCCAGCGAUGACGACGGCACAUCCAGCAUCAAUAUUGGCUGAGCCACCGCAAUCGCUGGCAAGCCAGCUCCCACA